RNAcentral lists this non-coding RNA (76 nucleotides) under fish gut metagenome. RNAcentral describes it as "ZMP/ZTP riboswitch". It matches the Rfam family "ZMP/ZTP riboswitch aptamer (pfl RNA motif)". Rfam says of the family: Previously known as pfl RNA. ZMP is also known as AICAR. The record is from RNAcentral.
UUCAGUGCGACUGGCGGAAGUGGAAUUACCACAGGGAGCACUGGGAUAUAUGAAUUGCCGACCGCCUGGGCAGACC